Molecule: transfer RNA, 66 nt
Filed under: Perisphaerus sp. 3 ZQW-2023b
Lineage: Eukaryota; Metazoa; Arthropoda; Insecta; Blattodea; Blaberidae
Description: tRNA-Ile
Source: RNAcentral
AGUAGGUGCCUGAUUAAAGGAUUAUCUUGAUAGGAUAAAUUAUGCAAUUUUCUCAUUGCCCCACUU